RNAcentral lists this ribosomal RNA (466 nucleotides) under uncultured bacterium. RNAcentral describes it as "partial 16S ribosomal RNA". It matches the Rfam family "Bacterial small subunit ribosomal RNA", at positions 28 to 507 of the family's 1533-position model. The record is from RNAcentral.
GACGAACGCUGGCGGCGUGCUUAACACAUGCAAGUCGAACGGAAAGGCCCUGCUUGCAGGGUACUCGAGUGGCGAACGGGUGAGUAACACGUGGGUGAUCUGCCCUGCACUUCGGGAUAAGCUUGGGAAACUGGGUCUAAUACCGGAUAGGAGCCAUCUUUAGUGUGGUGGUUGGAAAGUUUUUUCGGUGUAGGAUGAGCUCGCGGCCUAUCAGCUUGUUGGUGGGGUAAUGGCCUACCAAGGCGGCGACGGGUAGCCGGCCUGUGAGGGUGUACGGCCACAUAGGGAGAGUGAGACAGGCCAGAGACCCACACGGGGGGGAGGAGGGGAAAAUAGCGCAAAAGGGGCGAAACUGAGGCGGCGACGCCGCGUGGGGGAUGAAGGCCUUCGGGUUGUAAACUCCUUUCGCUAGGGACGAAGCUUUGUUGUGACGGUACCUAGAUAAGAAGCACCGGCUAACUACGUG